AUUGAACGCUGGCGGCAGGCCUAACACAUGCAAGUCGAACGGUAACAGGAAGAAGCUUGCUUCUUUGCUGACGAGUGGCGGACGGGUGAGGAAUGUCUGGGAAACUGCCUGAUGGAGGGGGAUAACUACUGGAAACGGUAGCUAAUACCGCAUAACGUCGCAAGACCAAAGAGGGGGACCUUCGGGCCUCUUGCCAUCGGAUGUGCCCAGAUGGGAUUAGCUAGUAGGUGGGGUAACGGCUCACCUAGGCGACGAUCCCUAGCUGGUCUGAGAGGAUGACCAGCCACACUGGAACUGAGACACGGUCCAGACUCCUACGGGAGGCAGCAGUGGGGAAUAUUGCACAAUGGGCGCAAGCCUGAUGCAGCCAUGCCGCGUGUAUGAAGAAGGCCUUCGGGUUGUAAAGUACUUUCAGCGGGGAGGAAGGGAGUAAAGUUAAUACCUUUGCUCAUUGACGUUACCCGCAGAAGAAGCACCGGCUAACUCCGUG
This 490-nucleotide ribosomal RNA is filed under the name uncultured bacterium. RNAcentral describes it as "partial 16S ribosomal RNA". It matches the Rfam family "Bacterial small subunit ribosomal RNA", at positions 30 to 507 of the family's 1533-position model. The record is from RNAcentral.